CAGGCCUAACACAUGCAAGUCGAACGCACCUUCGGGUGAGUGGCAGACGGGUGAGUAACACGUGGGAACGUACCCUUUGGUCUGGAAUAACUCUGGGAAACUAGAGCUAAUACCGGAUACGCCCUUUUGGGGAAAGGUUUACUGCCGAAGGAUCGGCCCGCGUCUGAUUAGCUAGUUGGUGGGGUAACGGCCUACCAAGGCGACGAUCAGUAGCUGGUCUGAGAGGAUGAUCAGCCACACUGGGACUGAGACACGGCCCAGACUCCUACGGGAGGCAGCAGUGGGGAAUAUUGGACAAUGGGCGCAAGCCUGAUCCAGCCAUGCCGCGUGAGUGAUGAAGGCCUUAGGGUUGUAAAGCUCUUUUGUCCGGGACGAUAAUGACGGUACCGGAAGAAUAAGCCCCGGCUAACUUCGUGCCAGCAGCCGCGGUAAU
Molecule: ribosomal RNA, 433 nt
Filed under: uncultured bacterium
Lineage: Bacteria
Description: bacterial SSU rRNA
Rfam family: Bacterial small subunit ribosomal RNA
Source: RNAcentral